UCCACCUGGCCCCAACUAUAUUCUCUUGUCUGUUUUCUUUAAUCCUUCACCGCCCCUCCUCAGGUUCACCACUGGCCAUGCUGGACGCAGUUCAUAAUCCCCUUGAUAAAUUUAAGUUUAAAAAAU
Myotis brandtii (Brandt's bat) is the source of this 126-nucleotide long non-coding RNA. RefSeq lists it as uncharacterized. The record is from RefSeq and is a predicted model, not a curated record. The transcript is spliced from 3 exons. Lineage: Eukaryota; Metazoa; Chordata; Mammalia; Chiroptera; Vespertilionidae.